Molecule: ribosomal RNA, 253 nt
Filed under: uncultured bacterium
Lineage: Bacteria
Description: partial 16S ribosomal RNA
Rfam family: Bacterial small subunit ribosomal RNA
Source: RNAcentral
UACGGAGGGGGCUAGCGUUGCUCGGAAUUACUGGGCGUAAAGGGCGCGUAGGCGGCCAUUUAAGUCAGGGGUGAAAUCCCAGAGCUCAACUCUGGAACUGCCUUUGAUACUGGGUGUCUUGAGUAUGAUAGAGGUAUGUGGAACUCCGAGUGUAGAGGUGAAAUUCGUAGAUAUUCGGAAGAACACCAGUGGCGAAGGCGACAUACUGGAUCAUUACUGACGCUGAGGCGCGAAAGCGUGGGGAGCAAACAGG